GUCGGUUCUAGAGGCGAGCAUCUAAAAUUCAGCGGUUUCGACUGCGACGACAAACCUCGGUCGUUCUUCAAACUAUCUUGCUUACGUUAGGGAGUCUGUCGAUUUUGCACGUCAACGAUCGAAAUGGGGCGCAUGGUUUACUGUAGCACACAGUGGGCGAAGAGGAAACACAGUCCAGGGCUGACUGAGAACGACGGAGAAUCAGAAACGAGUUUUCAGAUGUAUUCGCUGCUUCUACUAUAGGUUCUAUGCAACAUUGUCUUGUUCGACAAUGUAUUGCAGAGCAAGAACACACGAAAAGUAGAUUUAUCUGGAGGAUUUGGUGAAGUGGAGUUUGCUAGGAAUGGUGGACGAAUCUUACGGCAGGAGAAAAAGGAAGAGGCGAGGAGACAUUAAACCCAAGAAGAGGAAAGCGACAGAUGCAGAGGGAUGAAGGCACAGGCAGCAUCCGGGUUCGGCUUG
RNAcentral lists this long non-coding RNA (462 nucleotides) under Varroa destructor (honeybee mite). RNAcentral's name for it is "uncharacterized LOC111249839, transcript variant X1". The record is from RNAcentral. Lineage: Eukaryota; Metazoa; Arthropoda; Arachnida; Mesostigmata; Varroidae.